GCGACCCUAUGAAAGUGGAAAUAGACUACUUCUCGGUAUACGAAUACAACCUUCACGUCGUUCCCUGAAGAUUAAAAAACAAAAAGGCGAGUUUUUCUUUUUGGAGAAAGAGAGGGGGGAAGAAAAAAAGAAAAAAAAGAAGGCGUCUCUCUGAAGAAGUGGACAUUUGGUCACCGGGAAGAGUUGGAUGCGCCUUGGAGAUUCGUGCUUUCCUCUACUCUUGCCGCCCCCCCUCGGAGAAAAUGCCGUAGAGUCGUCGGAUUUGUUCGCUUUGAACCUUUUCUGCGCCGACGUGUUUCGCUGCUCUCGCAACAGUCCUCCUCCUCCUCCUCCUCGCGGAGCCGCUGUGUCGGAAGGCAGGCGCUGUCGUCGCUGACAGAAAAGGUGCUGACAAAGGACUAUUGUGCUGUGCAUGAAGAGACCAGGCUCCUUAUCGCAUAACUUGGAAUAAUAUAUCCGUGGAUUAAUACCAUGGCAUCAGCUGGUGACAGUGCUGAGGGAGGAGCCAAUGAGGAGUUCAGUGACAUCAUCAAAUGGAGAUCCGAUGAGCACGAUGCAGUUCAGAAGAAAACGUUCACCAAAUGGAUAAAUGCACAGUUUUCUAAGACGCAGACAUGUAACUCAGUGGUUGCAUUGUUUUAUUCCAACCAGACGGG
Lampris incognitus (smalleye Pacific opah) is the source of this 656-nucleotide long non-coding RNA. RefSeq lists it as uncharacterized. NCBI's taxonomy places the organism in Eukaryota, Metazoa, Chordata, Actinopteri, Lampriformes, Lampridae. The transcript has 4 exons. The record is from RefSeq and is a predicted model, not a curated record.